This 133-nucleotide small RNA is filed under the name Salmonella enterica. Its description in RNAcentral is "RtT sRNA". It matches the Rfam family "RtT RNA". Rfam says of the family: This family represents a bacterial cis-regulatory element known as RtT RNA. The exact function of RtT is unknown although it is thought that it may be involved in changing the cellular response in relation to amino acid starvation. The record is from RNAcentral. RNAcentral also lists the same sequence under 2 other names. Lineage: Bacteria; Pseudomonadati; Pseudomonadota; Gammaproteobacteria; Enterobacterales; Enterobacteriaceae.
UGUAUCUGAAGUCUGACGAGGAUGAGAACCUCCGGGGGCAAGAGGUUCGACUCGAGCGAAGCGAGAGAACGUUGCGUCAGCAACGGCCCGCAGGGCGAGCCACGCAGUGGCGAGUCAUCCUCUAUCACCGACC